AACGAACGCUGGCGGCGUGGAUAAGACAUGCAAGUCGAACGGAACUUUCAGCUGUAGCAAUACAGUUGAAAGUUUAGUGGCGAACGGGUGCGUAACACGUGGGCAAUCUGCCGAGAAGUGGGGGGAUAGCUCGCCGAAAGGCGAAUUAAUACCGCAUGUGAUCAGGAAAGACAUCUUUCCAACAUUAAAGCCGGGGUUAAACCUGGCGCUUCUUGAUGAGCCCGCGGCCUANCAGCUAGUUGGUGAGGUAACGGCUCACCAAGGCUUUGACGGGUAGCUGGUCUGAGAGGACGACCAGUCACACUGGAACUGAGACACGGUCCAGACACCGUACGGGUGGCAGCAGUCGAGUAAUUUUUCNCAAGUCGGGGAAACCCUGAAGGAGCGACGCCGCGUGGAGGAU
RNAcentral lists this ribosomal RNA (403 nucleotides) under uncultured bacterium. RNAcentral describes it as "bacterial SSU rRNA". It matches the Rfam family "Bacterial small subunit ribosomal RNA", at positions 29 to 409 of the family's 1533-position model. The record is from RNAcentral.